Long non-coding RNA from Oryzias melastigma (Indian medaka), 1773 nucleotides. RefSeq lists it as uncharacterized. The transcript is spliced from 2 exons. The record is from RefSeq and is a predicted model, not a curated record. NCBI's taxonomy places the organism in Eukaryota, Metazoa, Chordata, Actinopteri, Beloniformes, Adrianichthyidae.
CACCCCCUUGCACCACAUCAGCAAAGCCUAUUCCAAAGCCUGACAGAAUAUUCCAAGUGAAGAUGGAAUCUAUAAUCCAGGUCACAAACCCAAACGCCGCGGCACAUUGCCAGCAGGCUGUCCUUCUGGAAACCAGAGGCCCGUCUGUAUCUGGAGAACAAGAAGGUCUUCCCUCAGCCUCCACCAGAGCUGCUCCAUCAGUUCACUGUUCUGAGUAAAACUGCUGCAGACUGAAGGGAUCGGUUCAUCAUCACAUCUGCAGAGUCUGGGAAGGCUGGAGAUCCUUCUGGACAAUUCAAGAACGCCACUUUCUACUGACUAGUGGAAAAUAACGCUGGAUACAUGAUAAGUGUAUGACAUAAAAAUGACCUUUUCUAUACUACACCUCAGAACCUUAUGCAUGCAUUGUUAGAGCAUCCACAAACCCCCUCAGUUCCUGCCUGACACCCCCUGAACCUGUCUGUCUUCUGGGACUUGCCGGGCUCGAGGCCACUUUAAAAGCAGAAACGCAGCGGCGUCAGCCCUGCACGCUUACCCCCAACAGAGAAUUCAUCUCCACCCAGGAUUCGCCCCGAAAAUAAAAAAGGCAAAAUAACAAACGAGCGUCCGAUGGAAGAACCAAAGCUGGAUCAGCUGGACACUCCCUAGUCUGAACUGAGGAGGAAUGAAAAUCAUGAAAAUCACCAAGACUGAGCGUGGCACUAAAGAAAUGACACUCAGCUGUAACAAACAAGAACCCACAAAACUGCAUCGACCUGAAGAGAUUAACACAGCACAACUAGAGCUGCAUCCUGGACGAGCCCCCAGUAGUUACUCCCAAACAAAGUAAAGGAAAACUAAGCAGAGAAAAGGAAGGACAGAGAACCAAACAACAGAACCAACAAGCUACAACAACACGAGUUUCUUCACAGCUCAGUUACGGUGUGUCACAUAUGUGACGUGUCCAGCUGGAACACGAUGCUGACGGAGGUCGUGUGUUGUGGACCAGCACUAAAGGAGCAGGAAGGAGGAGGGGGUACAAUGGGGUUCUGAGACUCAUCAAGCCAUGUUUCCUGCUGUCCUCACCUGCUAGUGAGUGUACUGAAUAUGAAUGAAUUUAAAUGAAUCCUCUAAUGACUCUUCUCUGAGGCGCGUGUGAACGAGAAGAUUGUUCGUUUUCUGCAGGACAGAUCCGAGAGAAACACCAUGGAGAAGGUGUGACAGCAGGUCCAGGUAAAUCACCAUGAAGAAUAUCUCCAUGGUAAAGACCAGUACGUCACCCUUCUGAUGAGCACCGUGGAACCGGGAAGGACGUUUUCCUCUGGGGAACAAACUCAGCCCUCCUCCUCCAUCUACAGAGUUACCUUCAGCUCGACUCCUGCAGCACGCCUUUCUGCUGGCAGACAACAUGCAGGACUGCAGGAACCAGAUCCUCUCCACCUUUGGCACUGUGCUGGUUUGUCUGGACAUCUUCCACUGGAUCCACCAGUUUGACGUCACCAUCCAGACGGACAGCCACUCCAACAAUAUUCAAAUCUGCUCUGCUGGGGCCGUUUUAGGCUAAAGGAGACCUGGAUCUGCUCUAAAGGCCGUCAGGGCUGAUGAAGUCUUGAAGUCUUUAUCAGAUGAUGAUCCAGCAGCACAUUUCCAGGUGAAGAGGGAAACUCUUGGACCACAGGAAACCUUCCAGCUUCAGCCACCAUGAAAGAAAAUACACCAAAAUACAAGAAUAGAGUCAUUGUUGAUCAGUGUGACAUUCAUCUCAUGUUUCGAAUUAAACUGUCUUUGUUGAAA